AAAUUGAAGAGUUUGAUCAUGGCUCAGAUUGAACGCUGGCGGCAGGCCUAACACAUGCAAGUCGAACGGUAACAGGAAACAGCUUGCUGUUUCGCUGACGAGUGGCGGACGGGUGAGUAAUGUCUGGGAAACUGCCUGAUGGAGGGGGAUAACUACUGGAAACGGUAGCUAAUACCGCAUAACGUCGCAAGACCAAAGAGGGGGACCUUCGGGCCUCUUGCCAUCGGAUGUGCCCAGAUGGGAUUAGCUUGUUGGUGGGGUAACGGCUCACCAAGGCGACGAUCCCUAGCUGGUCUGAGAGGAUGACCAGCCACACUGGAACUGAGACACGGUCC
Molecule: ribosomal RNA, 335 nt
Filed under: Escherichia coli
Lineage: Bacteria; Pseudomonadati; Pseudomonadota; Gammaproteobacteria; Enterobacterales; Enterobacteriaceae
Description: bacterial SSU rRNA
Rfam family: Bacterial small subunit ribosomal RNA
Source: RNAcentral